UACGGAGGAUCCAAGCGUUAUCCGGAAUCAUUGGGUUUAAAGGGUCCGUAGGCGGUCAGGUAAGUCAGUGGUGAAAGCCCAUCGCUCAACGAUGGAACGGCCAUUGAUACUGUCUGACUUGAAUUACUGGGAAGUAACUAGAAUAUGUAGUGUAGCGGUGAAAUGCUUAGAUAUUACAUGGAAUACCAAUUGCGAAGGCAGGUUACUACCAGUGGAUUGACGCUGAUGGACGAAAGCGUGGGGAGCGAACAGG
This 253-nucleotide ribosomal RNA is filed under the name uncultured bacterium. RNAcentral describes it as "partial 16S ribosomal RNA". It matches the Rfam family "Bacterial small subunit ribosomal RNA", at positions 524 to 776 of the family's 1533-position model. The record is from RNAcentral.